AUGCUCUGCUAAGCCAGCCGUGCCAUGCGAGAUGCAUACACAACCAAGGUCUUGGAUAAUCACAAUACAGCACAUGACAUCCAACCCAUCUCUAAUCUCCGAGCUCUUCCCAUUCUUUUCCAUUUAUUCACAAUUAUUUUUCUGCAAUCUUUCAUGUGGGCGGUUGAAGGAGCUAAUCAGAUGUAGCCCCCUAAGCGAUCAUGCUCAUUAGGGAG
This 215-nucleotide long non-coding RNA is filed under the name Elaeis guineensis (African oil palm). Its description in RNAcentral is "long non-coding RNA (EGUI_LNC069399)". The record is from RNAcentral. Lineage: Eukaryota; Viridiplantae; Streptophyta; Magnoliopsida; Arecales; Arecaceae.